This 84-nucleotide non-coding RNA is filed under the name bovine gut metagenome. Its description in RNAcentral is "S10-Clostridia ribosomal protein leader". It matches the Rfam family "S10-Clostridia ribosomal protein leader". The record is from RNAcentral. RNAcentral also lists the same sequence under 1 other name.
UGAUAGCGUAGAAGCGGAGGUUGCCGCCCUGCGAGGCGGGUUUUUCCGUGGAGCGAAUGUCAAAGUUCAUGAAACUAUGACGAC